Molecule: long non-coding RNA, 494 nt
Organism: Lagenorhynchus albirostris (white-beaked dolphin)
Lineage: Eukaryota; Metazoa; Chordata; Mammalia; Artiodactyla; Delphinidae
Exons: 3
Source: RefSeq, a predicted model, not a curated record
AGCAGCCCAGCCGGCUGCCUCCUGCUGCAGAUUGGAUGGUACAGAGAGGGGAAAAUGUUCUGUUUUUAAAACAAACUGUGACGGGCAAUGAAAAGUGGGUACUGUACAAUAAUGUGGAACAGGAGAGAUCGUGGGGCAAGUGAAAUGAACCACCACCAACCACACCAGAGGCCAGUCUUCAUCCAAAGAAGACCAACUGAAAGCAGCACUGAAAGAAAAUCGUCUGGAAUUAAUCAACAGAAAACACAUAAUCUUCCAUCCGGGUAAUUCAAGACUGCAUGUUUCUUUGAUGACCAGGCAAAAACUGUUACAGCUUGGCUUGGGAGUUCCGAUUCACCCGCCAUAUUCACCAGACACUGCACCUUAGGAUUUCCAUUUAUUUCAGUCUUUACCAAAUUAUCUUAAUGGAAAAAAUUUCAAUUCCCUGGAAGACUGUAAAAGGCACCUGGAAGAGUUCUUUGCUCAAAAAAGGUAAAAAGUUUUGGGAAGACGGA